Molecule: non-coding RNA, 725 nt
Organism: Salvia hispanica
Lineage: Eukaryota; Viridiplantae; Streptophyta; Magnoliopsida; Lamiales; Lamiaceae
Source: RefSeq, a predicted model, not a curated record
GAAAAGUAAAAUAAGGGAAGAGAAUGGAUUUUCUAUGUGGAAAGAAAAAGGAAAAAAGAAAGAAAGGGGUAAAUAGAAAGAAAGGAAAAUGGAAAUGAAUAGAUAAUGAUAAGUAGUAGAAAUGAGACGUGUCGUCUAGAGAAAUAAAAGGAGAAAAAUAUAAAAAGAAUUUUAGAAAAUAGAAAAAGAGAGUUGAGAUAGAAAUCAAAUUAGUCUCUAUCACUCUACUUUCUCUAUCUUCACGUCUCUCUCCCUCUCCACUUCCAUUUUCGCUCCUGCUUUCUCUCUUCGUUCACAUGUUCAGCUACACCUCAACGCCGAGCUCGUCGGCGAAGUCGCCGGGAUGCCAGAACUCACACAACUCACCCCAAGUCCUAAUUUCCCUCGUUUCUCUCCAUUUUAGAGAUUGAAUUUCAAUCCCACUUUGAUCCAACAUCCAAAAUAGUUAUAUCGGAGGAGAACCAAGUUCCAGUGCAAGUAACAAAGGAGAUGACAUGAUCUUGGAGUAAACGAAUAAAUUUAUGGAGUUUUAUUGACGUGUACAGAGUAUAGUAGUGAGGAGUCUCACUAGUUGGCAGCUGCACGUCAUUGCGCGUGUCUAGUCACUGCGUGUAUAGUUGGAUAGAGUUUUAUUAUAACAUGUUGAUAAUUAUUUAAUAGUGUGUAUCUGUUUGUCGGAUUCAAAGGAAAAAAAAUAUACAUACGGAGAGUUGGGUUCUUAUUAA